AAAGACAUUUAUAACCCCAUGUUAAAUAAUCUAGAUUUAUGGUUUAGAGUUGAGGGAUGGGGUAGGGUUCUUGGAAUGUGAAAUUUAUGAUUCUAAUAAAUAUAUAAAUAAAUAUUUUAAAAUUACAUUUUAAAAAAAAAGUAGUUUCAAACAUAAUUUUCAAUUUUCAAAAAGAAAUUUUUAAAAAAAAAAUUUGAAAAAAAGAAAAAUUUUGAAAAAAAAAUUCAGAAAUUUUUUCAUAAAAAAAUUGAAUUUGAAAUAGUAUAAUUCGAAGAAAAAAAUAUUCUCUAGGAUAGACCUAAAAAGUUUUAGUCACAAAUAUAGACCUUAAAAAUAAAAAUGACCAUUUGUCAUUAAGUGGCAAAUAUUUUAUCAAAAGAAGUAAAUAUACACUUAUAUCCUUAAGGUUAAUUAAUCUAGACAUUGGGGUUUAGAGUUAAGGGAUGGGGUUUAGGGUUUAAGAUUUAAGGUUUAAGGUUUAGGUUUAGAGUUGAG
This 495-nucleotide long non-coding RNA is filed under the name Brassica rapa (field mustard). RNAcentral's name for it is "long non-coding RNA (BRAP_LNC005232)". The record is from RNAcentral. Lineage: Eukaryota; Viridiplantae; Streptophyta; Magnoliopsida; Brassicales; Brassicaceae.